This 472-nucleotide ribosomal RNA is filed under the name uncultured organism. RNAcentral's name for it is "bacterial SSU rRNA". It matches the Rfam family "Bacterial small subunit ribosomal RNA", at positions 28 to 507 of the family's 1533-position model. The record is from RNAcentral.
GACGAACGCUGGCGGCGUGCCUAACACAUGCAAGUCGAACGAAAAUACCAAAGCAGCAAUGCGGGGGUAUUUUAGUGGCGGACGGGUGAGUAACGCGUGAGCAAUCUGCCUUUUGGAGGGGGAUACCGACUGGAAACGGUCGUUAAUACCGCAUAACGUAUAUGGACGACAUCGUCCGUAUACCAAAGGAGCAAUCCGCCGAAAGAUGAGCUCGCGUCUGAUUAGCUAGUUGGCGGGGUAAAGGCCCACCAAGGCGACGAUCAGUAGCCGGACUGAGAGGUUGAACGGCCACAUUGGGACUGAGAUACGGCCCAGACUCCUACGGGAGGCAGCAGUGGGGAAUAUUGGGCAAUGGGCGAAAGCCUGACCCAGCAACGCCGCGUGAAGGAAGAAGGCCUUCGGGUUGUAAACUUCUUUGACCAGGGAAGAAGAAGUGACGGUACCUGGAAAACAAGCCACGGCUAACUACGUG